This 1054-nucleotide long non-coding RNA is filed under the name Cricetulus griseus (Chinese hamster). Its description in RNAcentral is "lncRNA (ENSCGRG00015030714.1)". Lineage: Eukaryota; Metazoa; Chordata; Mammalia; Rodentia; Cricetidae. The record is from RNAcentral.
UCUGGAAAGCAGUACCAUCAAGAUGCAAUGACUUUACCACCCAUAAAACUUCCUACUAACACUGAGUCCUCAGGCAAUCGCCUCCAUCCCUAGAAUUUCUUGUGCCAUGUCCCAGUCCUCCCAUUGUUUUUUCUGAUUUGUUUUUCACCUUCAUGGAUGCCUAAUGGGAUCAUGGAAAUGGGAGACCCAGAGGCGAGGCCAGCAUGGACUCUCUUGCUCGUGGCAGGGUCCAUGCAUUUUUAUGUCAGACUAGGGAGGCGAUACUAGACCUCCAUGGUGGACUGUUUUGGUUUGGUCUGAUUUUGACAUAUUAUCUGGCGUUGAUACAUUUACUGGAUUUUAGAGGGGACUUAAGAGUUUCCCCAGCCAUGUGCCUCCAACACUAGCCAGCUACCCGAAAUGACUGGACUUGGAAAUCCCUGGUGAAUUUCCAUCAGUCCAGAAGAACUUGGAAAAGCACAGACCCCACCUGGCACCCAAAGUGUAGAUUGCCGGGUGCUAGACAAGCUGCUGCCAUCGGGCAGCCACCACAGCUGGAGGCGCAGAGAAUCCAGCCUAUUGGAUGGGAGGCUGGAGAUGAGGACGGACUGUGUGCUGGAGACGGACCCGGGGCCUCCAAACACCCUAAGAAGGUGCCGAGAUACCUUCGUGCUGUUGCUCUUUUGAGACCAGGUUUUGCCAGGUCUGGAAUUUGCUUCUGCCUCCUUCCUGCUGGGGUCACAGAUGUGUGCCACCAUGUCAAGCCAUUCUCUAUCUCCCCCUCUUCUGCAGGAUUCCCUGAAACACGCCUAAAUAAUAAAAGAACUGCUGGAGGUAUUACCAACCUCAAAUUAUACUACAGAACUAUAGAGAUAAAAAGCAUGGUAUGUGCAUAAAGAAAGACAUCUGGUUUGUCUUCCUGUAACUCAGAGGAGGUGGUUGACAUCUCUCAGAGUGACCAUGGAUUUGCCUGCUCCUCUUCCAGAUCACUAGAGUGCCCUCCUGUAUUUCAAAGGCCUGUCAUUAGGAGUGUGCAUACACAACACACGUGUGUGGGUCAAAAGACAACUUGGGG